GGUUUGGUUGUGUGGUCUUUUCGUAUGAAUUGUACUGCGUCGACCGAAUCUUUCCUUCUGGCAAACUAUUGUGCUAUUUAUUUAGUGCGAUAGGGAACCAGGACUUUUACUUUGAAAAAAUUAGAGUGUUUAAAGCAGGCUUACGCUUGAAUACAUUAGCAUGGAAUAAUAAAAUAGGACUUUGGUUUUAUUUUGUUGGUUUUCAAGACCGAAGUA
RNAcentral lists this ribosomal RNA (216 nucleotides) under uncultured fungus. RNAcentral describes it as "partial small subunit ribosomal RNA". It matches the Rfam family "Eukaryotic small subunit ribosomal RNA", at positions 665 to 864 of the family's 1831-position model. Lineage: Eukaryota; Fungi. The record is from RNAcentral.